AUUUUAAAUCUUUUUUUAUAA
This 21-nucleotide transfer RNA is filed under the name Polistes dominula (European paper wasp). RNAcentral's name for it is "partial tRNA-Leu". The record is from RNAcentral. Lineage: Eukaryota; Metazoa; Arthropoda; Insecta; Hymenoptera; Vespidae.